This 253-nucleotide ribosomal RNA is filed under the name uncultured bacterium. RNAcentral describes it as "partial 16S ribosomal RNA". It matches the Rfam family "Bacterial small subunit ribosomal RNA", at positions 524 to 776 of the family's 1533-position model. The record is from RNAcentral.
UACGGAGGGUGCAAGCGUUAUCCGGAUUUACUGGGUUUAAAGGGUGCGUAGGUGGGUCUGUAAGUCAGUGGUGAAAUCUCCGAGCUUAACUCGGAAACUGCCAUUGAUACUAUAGAUCUUGAAUUAUCUGGAGGUAAGCGGAAUAUGUCAUGUAGCGGUGAAAUGCUUAGAUAUGACAUAGAACACCAAUUGCGAAGGCAGCUUACUACGGAUCGAUUGACACUGAGGCACGAAAGCGUGGGGAUCAAACCGG